Molecule: long non-coding RNA, 291 nt
Filed under: Homo sapiens (human)
Lineage: Eukaryota; Metazoa; Chordata; Mammalia; Primates; Hominidae
Description: HSALNT0407201
Source: RNAcentral
CAAUCAGAUUCAACAGAGUUCUUUUUUGGCUUCAUUUCUCACUUUGAUCAAAAUGACUUCUCAGCAUGCAUGUUCUUACACACACACACACACACACACACACACACACACAACAUACCUACCUCUCUGAUAUAUGCUUCCUAUUAAUUUCUGCCUAGAAAACUCUUACUCAUCCUCUAAUACCCAUCUCAGAUAUAUCUCUUGUUUUAACCCUUCCUUAAUGUCUCUGGUAGAAUGUGUUAUCCAAUAACCCUCCCUGUCCCCCGACCCCACUCAACCCCAAUGAUCAGA